Molecule: ribosomal RNA, 752 nt
Filed under: uncultured bacterium
Lineage: Bacteria
Description: bacterial SSU rRNA
Rfam family: Bacterial small subunit ribosomal RNA
Source: RNAcentral
GAUGAACGCUGGCGCGCUUGCCUAACACAUGCAAGUCGAACGGACAUUUUUUGGAAAGCUCUUCGGAACUGGAAUCUAAAUGUUAGUGGCGGACGGGUGAGUAACGCGUGAGCAAUCUGCCUUUCAGAGGGGGAUAACAGCCGGAAACGGCUGCUAAUACCGCAUAAUGCAUCGGAUUCGCAUGUUUCUGAUGCCAAAGAUUUUAUCGCUGAAAGAUGAGCUCGCGUCUGAUUAGCUAGUUGGCGGGGUAACGGCCCACCAAGGCGACGAUCAGUAGCCGGACUGAGAGGUUGAACGGCCACAUUGGGACUGAGACACGGCCCAGACUCCUACGGGAGGCAGCAGUGGGGAAUAUUGCGCAAUGGGGGCAACCCUGACGCAGCAACGCCGCGUGAUUGAUGAAGGUCUUCGGAUUGUAAAAAUCUUUAAUCAGGGACGAAGAAAAUGACGGUACCUGAAGAAUAAGCUCCGGCUAACUACGUGCCAGCAGCCGCGGUAAUACGUAGGGAGCAAGCGUUAUCCGGAUUUACUGGGUGUAAAGGGCGUGUAGGCGGGCUUGCAAGUUGGAAGUGAAAUCUCGGGGCUUAACCCCGAAACUGCUUUCAAAACUGCGAGUCUUGAGUGAUGGAGAGGCAGGCGGAAUUCCCAGUGUAGCGGUGAAAUGCGUAGAUAUUGGGAGGAACACCAGUGGCGAAGGCGGCCUGCUGGACAUUAACUGACGCUGAGGCGCGAAAGCGUGGGGAGCAAACAGG